RNAcentral lists this unclassified non-coding RNA (255 nucleotides) under Hevea brasiliensis (rubber tree). Lineage: Eukaryota; Viridiplantae; Streptophyta; Magnoliopsida; Malpighiales; Euphorbiaceae. The record is from RNAcentral.
AUGGGAAUUUUCGGGCCUCUAGCCUCCUCAAUGGCAGUGGCACUGGCCAACUGAAACAAGUCAGCAUAUGUCACACCAGCAUAUUUGUCUUUGAUUGGCUGGAGAAGUUUCAGUGCAUUAACAAGUCCAGCAUUUGCUCCAUGUUUUAGUUCAACUUCGAAUCUUAAGCUCCCAUUAGCUCCACCUCUUUGAGGCCAGUCCUCGAUAUUCUUAUUAUAAGUUCCAGCAUCAUGCCAGCCCAAGCGAACCAAAAUA